Molecule: ribosomal RNA, 253 nt
Filed under: uncultured bacterium
Lineage: Bacteria
Description: partial 16S ribosomal RNA
Rfam family: Bacterial small subunit ribosomal RNA
Source: RNAcentral
UACGAAGGGGGCGAGCGUUAUUCGGAAUUAUUGGGUGUAAAGGGCGCGUAGGCGGUAUGAAAAGUCUAUUGUUUAAUCCUCCGGCUUAACCGGAGAACUGCGGUAGAUACUGUCAUGCUAGAGUAUGGAAGAGAGAAGUGGAAUUCUCGGAGUAGCGGUAAAAUGCGUAGAUCUCGAGAGGAACGCCAAUGGCGAAGGCAGCUUCUUGGUACAUUACUGACGCUGAGGCGCGAAGGCGUGGGGAGCAAACAGG